This 244-nucleotide ribosomal RNA is filed under the name uncultured bacterium. RNAcentral's name for it is "partial small subunit ribosomal RNA". It matches the Rfam family "Bacterial small subunit ribosomal RNA", at positions 26 to 285 of the family's 1533-position model. The record is from RNAcentral.
AGAAUCAACGCUGGCGGCGUGCCUAACACAUGCAAGUCGCACGAGAAAGGGGCUUCGGCCCUGAGUAAAGUGGCGCACGGGUGAGUAACACGUGAAUGAUCUACCUCCGAGUGGGGAAUAACUGAGAGAAAUCUUAGCUAAUACCGCAUAACACUUACGAGUCAAAGCAGCAAUGCGCUUGGAGAGGAGUUCGCGGCCGAUUAGUUAGUUGGCGGGUAAUGGCCCACCAAGACGAUGAUCGGUA